UACCAAACAACGCGGUACCCAGCAAGCAAACCUCUAAACACAAGUUAAGUGAACAAAAUACGGGUACUCCUUAUGCCCUAUCUAAACCUCCAAGCUACAACGUAACAGUUUACCAAACAAACAACUCAAUAACCACACUAUAUCAGUUUAUACAUUCUCAAUAACAACUCAAUAUUCAACAGUCACAAGCUUCAUAGAGAAACAAUCAGAAGAUCAGCAAAACACAUGUUCAAGUUCAUCCAUAAUAAAACGUGCAAUGCCAAGGGAUGCAAUGUCAAAUAUUGUGAUGCAUGUCUUUCUUAACGAUACACAGCCGCUGUCUCUUAGUACGGGACCAAUGGGGGACAUAUCUGUCCAUGCAUCUGUCGUGGCGCAUGACACGACCCUCGAUAAUAGUAACCAUCGCGGCGCGCAUUACGUCCCUCAAAAUAUAAUACCAUCGCGGCGCGCGAUACGACCCUUGAAAUAGUACAUCCUCUUAUCACUUAACUCUUAUCACAAUCAUGUCUCAGAUACAAUGCAAUUGACAUGCUCAAAUGAGAAAUGAGGAGAUAACCAUUUUGAUAACAAAGCACAAUUCACAACAAGGAAUAUAACACCAACAAAUAAACAACAAGUCUCCAAGUCAUUCUCAACACCACACAAGGAAAUACACGAAUUUCAUACGCUUAACAAGGGUUUAAAAAUCCACUUGCCUUAGUCAAUCAAAUGAUCACUCCGAGGCUUGAACCUUCCCCUUCCGUUGAGCUUCCGAACCAAUGGAAUCUAUUCAACCAUAUAUUCGUAAUAAGGUUUCAGAACUAACAACACCCACAUUAUUAUGUUUUUAACUUUGACCUUUAAAUUCACCCAAUUUAUGACCAAAGUUCAUAAUUCUUAAUGCCAACUCACAUUUCAACUAUCAUAUUUUCCAAUUAAUACAACCUUAAUAGUUUUCAUAUAAUAUAAUAUACCAAUAUUUAAUUUUCUUGACUCACAACAUAACAAAAAAAUGUAUCAUCUCUAUAAGUCAUAAAAAAAUAUAAAGUUACACUACUUGUCGCUCUCACGCUAAAACGGAAAAAUUAUGGACACACUGCUUCAGCCAUGCAUUGAAUCCUUAUGCAUAUUUUUACUAAUACAAUACUUUUUAAUGCUUCUCAAUUAUAUCCUCAUUAUCAUGUCGUUAUUGGCUAUCCAUUAUUUGGCUAAUUAUAAUGCCAAAUCUCUAUUAAAAAUUGAUACAAAAGAGGCAGAUGAUGCUAAUCAAAAAUUGAUACAAAUAUUUCAAUUUGCAUAGAGAUACUAUGGAGCAAGUUCAUAUAAUUCAGUAUAGACUAAUGACAAAUCUCUAUUAAAAAUUGAUACAAAUAUUUCAACCUUUUUCAAACCCACAUUAUAAUACUAAUAUAAUUUCUAUCAUCACUUUAUGAAAAGAAUAAAAUAUAAUUUUUCUUAAUUCAACCAAAUCCACACUAACAUGUCAACUUUAAAAAUUCACUCAGUUCCAUUUAAUACAAAUCAGUAACAUUGCAUAUAUACGAUAAUAAGAUAAAGCAGGCAUAAAUUGAAAAGAUUCGCAUACCUUUAGGUCGAAUCUCCGUUGCCGAGGUUGCACGAAUGGUAUUCUAGGGUAGUUUUCUUUUCCUCU
This 1630-nucleotide long non-coding RNA is filed under the name Solanum lycopersicum (tomato). RNAcentral's name for it is "long non-coding RNA (SLYC_LNC000022)". The record is from RNAcentral. Lineage: Eukaryota; Viridiplantae; Streptophyta; Magnoliopsida; Solanales; Solanaceae.